This 460-nucleotide ribosomal RNA is filed under the name uncultured bacterium. Its description in RNAcentral is "partial 16S ribosomal RNA". It matches the Rfam family "Bacterial small subunit ribosomal RNA", at positions 338 to 795 of the family's 1533-position model. The record is from RNAcentral.
CCUACGGGUGGCUGCAGUGAGGAAUAUUGGUCAAUGGGCGCGAGCCUGAACCAGCCAAGUAGCGUGAAGGAUGAAUGCCCUACGGGUUGUAAACUUCUUUUAUAAAGGAAUAAAGUGUGGCACGCGUGCCUUUUUGUAUGUACUUUAUGAAUAAGCAUCGGCUAACUCCGUGCCAGCAGCCGCGGUAAUACGGAGGAUCCGAGCGUUAUCCGGAUUUAUUGGGUUUAAAGGGAGCGUAGAUGGGUUGUUAAGUCAGUUGUGAAAGUUUGCGGCUCAACCGUAAAAUUGCAGUUGAUACUGGCAGUCUUGAGUACAGGUGAGGUAUGCGGAAUGCGUGGUGUAGCGGUGAAAUGCAUAGAUAUCACGAAGAACUCCGAUUGCGAAGGCAGCUUACUAAAUUGCCACUGACAUUGAUGCUCGAAAGUGUGGGUAUCAAACAGGAUUAGAUACCCUUGUAGUC